This 472-nucleotide ribosomal RNA is filed under the name Eurhadina spinifera. RNAcentral describes it as "partial 16S ribosomal RNA". The stretch from base 349 to 472 matches the Rfam family "Bacterial large subunit ribosomal RNA", at positions 2473 to 2597 of the family's 2925-position model. Lineage: Eukaryota; Metazoa; Arthropoda; Insecta; Hemiptera; Cicadellidae. The record is from RNAcentral.
AAAUUCUGCCCUAUGAAUAUUUAAAUGGCUGCAGUAUUUUAACUGUACAAAGGUAGCAUAAUAAUUAGUUUUUUAAUUGAGGACUGGAAUGAAAGAUUUAAUGAGAGAUUUAUUUUAUUAUUUUUAGAUUUUGAAUUUUAUUUUUAAGUAAAAAAGCUUAAUUGAUUUUUUGGGACGAAAAGACCCUAUAGAACUUUAUUUAAUUAUCAUUAAUUUUUAUUAUUUAAAGAUUUUUAUUGAAAUUUAAAUUUAAUUGGGGUGAUUAAUAAAAUAAACUUUAUUUAUUAUAUUCAUUAAUUUAUGAUUCUUUUGAUUUAAAUUUUAAUUAUAAGAUUAAGUUACCUUAGGGAUAACAGCGUAAUUUUUAUGGAGAGUUCAUAUCUAUAUGAAAGUUUGCGACCUCGAUGUUGAAUUAAGAUAAAUUAGUGAAGAAGUAUUUGUUAUAUUAAGUCUGUUCGACUUUUAAAUUCUU